Long non-coding RNA from Pantherophis guttatus, 902 nucleotides. RefSeq lists it as uncharacterized. Lineage: Eukaryota; Metazoa; Chordata; Lepidosauria; Squamata; Colubridae. The record is from RefSeq and is a predicted model, not a curated record.
GAGUAAGAUAAAGCAGGUAUAAUCUAGGCAUACCUAAACCUCAGCCAUAUCCUUGAUGUAUUCAACAUUCCCUGUUAAAGACGAUGUUGGUCAGUUUCAGUGAAUAUGCCAAUAAAUAAUGGGAUGACAUUUGCUUUUCCUCAGAAUGGGAUGACAUUUGCUUUUCCUCAGAAUGGGAGCAUACCUUGAUUGCUUAAUGGAUGAGGCAUACCAUAUUUCCUAGAAAUUAGAGUGAGGUUUAGGAGAGCUAUGCCAUUUUAAUUUAUCUUAAGCAACCCAAAAUUGUAUUCGGCAGCAAAAAUAUAUUACCUAGGAAUGAAAUCAUAUGGGGAACAGGGAGAUGAAGGAAAUAAUGAAACUCUUAGAGAAUUUCUCCACCUCUCCCAAGAUUCUCUGAAAAAAAGCAAUGAAGCAUAUCAUCACAAGAUUCAUUCAGAUUUAAGGAUUGACCUUUCAGUCACUGAAUCCAAAGUGCCUCAACUUUCCUUUGUUACAUUGGGAUUGUUGGCAGUGCUCCAAAACCAGCAGACCUAAUCAAAGAUUUUGAAUCCUAGCAGAAGAGAUGACGACCAUCUGCUCUGCUCCAGAAAAAUGGAAAUCUACUUACAAAAUCAUUCCAAUUCAUCAUGGAUUUGGAUUUAUCCAUUUCUGCAACACAGAACAAACGUCUCUCUUUUUUUGUUCUUGAUCUUUCCAAAAGUCUUAGGUAGGAGAUGACCAGGGUGAGCCUGAGGGAAAGGUCAGGUGUGUCAUCAGUCUCAAGUCCCUUCAUAUUCACCAGAGAUCUAAGUCCAGCCAACCUUGAAUUCCAUUGACUCUUAUCUAUUGCCAAUUUGUUUAACUGAUAGUACUUCAGAUUCUUGUAGAAAUGUUAGCAUGUAAUAAACCUGGAUUCAUUUGAA